This 90-nucleotide ribosomal RNA is filed under the name Alternaria alternata. RNAcentral describes it as "partial 28S ribosomal RNA". The record is from RNAcentral. Lineage: Eukaryota; Fungi; Ascomycota; Dothideomycetes; Pleosporales; Pleosporaceae.
UUGUGUAAUGAUCCCUCCUCAAGUUUCUUUCCUCGGAACUUUUUUCAUCAAAAAAACCAAUUUCCCUAUUUCUAUGAUAGCGUUUGUUUU